UUACUCAUUUUUUUUUACUUACUCACAAAAUCAUCUUAACAACAUAGUAUAUGAAUCACGUGUAAAGAGUUUCUCUCAUUUACUUACACGUUUAUUUACAUCUACACGAGUGUAGAUGAAGUGUGAAUUAAAGUGUAACAAUACUUGUAUUAGUACCAAGGAGAUCCUCUAUUUUAUGUCUAUAGACAGAAUCGAUUGCUCGUUAAAAUAAUAAUUGUUUUAUAAUGAUUAAUCUGAAUCAGUCAGAUGGUGGCAAUUUCAAUAGACAAAAGGUGUCUGUCUCAAUAUUUUCCAACAAAUCAAUUUGCACAAUAAACAUUUAGCAACUAGUAAGUAUCCGACUGGCUAGCAAAGGCACGGUAAAUAUUAGACGAUCGUUGUUAGCCAACAUUAUUCUCUAAACAAACGGUUGCCCAACCGAGUUCUCCAACGUUGCAAAAAGAUCAAUAUUAUCUUAGAUAUCGUGGAAAGGCAAGUGUUCAGCGUCUUUGCCCUUUCCUUGGAGCGAAAUUAACGCCUGGCUAUUUUCAAUCUUUCAUCUUUCGAGCUUCUUCUUCGACGUUGCGAAGAGCGCACGUUAUGCAAUUAGUGUGCAUCUCCUAAUUGACAUCGCCCAAGGUUGAACAAAAGAAGAGAUAUUAUAGGGAACACUCGAGUCUUCGAUCAUCGAGGCGAAUUUCAUCGUACGACGAAUUUCGCGAAUUUCGUUCGAGGAUCGGCCAGGUCUCGUAUUCGUUUCGUAUUCGAUUCGUAAACCGUCGAUCCUUCCUCGUUACUCGGAUGAUCCACACGCGGUAAAGGGAACGGGGUAUACCGUUUUUUAAUGCGAAAAAUCGGAUACCGUUUUAGUAUUUAUUCUCACGCGGAUCACGUAUCGUCUCGGCGCUUAAGAGUUCCAAGAAAGUUGGGCGUUUUAAGGUGAAGAUCGGAAGUAGACGUUUUAUUAUUUUUUUUUUUUUUUUUAGAAAUGACGAAUCAAGUGACGAGUCACGGGAAUGGAAACGAAAACGUUUGUAAAUCGUUGAAUAAGAAUUUUUUUUUAAAUUCGUUGAACUAAAAAACGUUGCAAGUUGUUAUUAGAAAAUUCGCGAUAAGUUUAUUGAGGAAUAUUGUACAUUUUCUUAAAAGUAACGAAUCAAUGAUGAAUCACAGAAAUAGAAAGGAAGACGUUGUAAAAUUUGAAAUAUAAAACGAUACGUUAUCAUUCGAUUGCAGAUGGCGCCAAACGAAGAUAAACGAAGAAAUUGUAAUAGCCAUGAAUAAAUAUUAUUUUAAUAAUCUAGUUUCGUGUUGGAGAAAUAUCCUCGAUCUAUCAAGCUAGAAAUAUUCGAGAGAAAGCUCGUCCGCGAAGGAUCAAAAAUAAAAUAAAAAUUUCAAAUUGUCGAAUUUCAGAAAAAAUAAAGGAUGGGAAAAUUUAGGAUACAAAUCGGAUGAGAACCGCUGUCCAGCACCGGCCUUGUGAUUCAUUUUCCUGCGUUGUUUAUUUUGCAAAUAUUAAACUCACCGGCUGAAGUCACCGGUUACGUGGACGAUGCGACUCGGUUUGACAUUUUGUUUUUCCAUCUUCUUUGCAUUUCGCUUUUCCGAUUGCCCGUAACACGCGAUCAUCGAAAGGUUUCGUAAUUUGCCAAGUUGCUACGCUCGAAACGAUUGUGCAGAAGUAUAAAAUAAACAGCAAUGUGAUAAAAAGAAAAAGAAAAAAAAAGAAUCGAAUACGAUCAGCUCGUAAUAAAUAGCUUGGACAGUUCCAAGGCGGUGUUGUUAAUCGAGUGCAGCGGAAAAAUUUGAGAAGCGGCAACGUGACGGAUUUCAUCCACGAUUAGAAUUCCCUGGAUUCUGUUGGCAGUGUCGCGACGUGAAAUCGCGCCCUGAAUGUCGUUUAGAACGAUAAGUAUCGCGAAAAUGAUUUGGUUCUGGGAAGGGCCGGGUCUUUGCACACCAUCGACCUGAACUCCAAGAUGGAGAGAAUGAAUUGAAACUCGAAACUGCCAACAAUUUUUUCACUCGAUAUUAUCGAGUUCACCCGAAGUCUUGCUUCGAAAUAAAGAAAAGAAAGGAGGAAUUAACGGAGAGAAGAAUAGCGAGGAAGAAAUGAACUAUUGGGGGAAGGAAAAAUAAUUGCAGGAAUUCUUUUCCUCUGAUUUUAUGAUUUUCACGACGGGAAUAACAUCUUUGAUUGAUGUCUGCAGAGGAACCGGAGGAAGGAAUAAACCAGAGGAAAUAUAAAUAUCGCGACCUGGGUAUUUAUGAGAAAUAUCAGGGUCCUUGGGCCAUCGCAUGAAUCACGCUUCCCGGUAUUUUCGAGAAACGCGUAUGAAUUAAACAUCCGAGCAAUGUGUAUGUGUGUGUGUGUGUGUGUGUGUACAGGUGAUGAUCGUCUUUUCGUCAAGAGACACUGUUUUCCAAUGGAUCUCAUCGGUUAUACAUACGUAUUCAUCGCGUAUGAAACGGAUAGUUUCUUAAAGAAAAAUUUUUACACUGGUCGAUGUUCUGUUCCAACACUUUUACUCCAUGCAAAACAUUUACUCUAUAAUUUUAAGAAACGAAUCUUCUAAUCGAUAUUGCAAAGACCACGAGCAAGAUGUUUUCAACAGUUUGUUCAAAAUUUCUCAGAAUGAUUUUUCUCAGAAUCUCUUAUCCAUCUUGAAAGUGUUGGAGGUCCAGUUGAUGAGCGACGUUACAACUUCGCUGUAUCGGUUUCACCGGCAAUAAUAAGUACUUGAGCAGCAAUCAGCCCAGGCAGCUUUCAUCGCAAUUGUGAAUUGAACACGAAUUGAACGCCUGCCGUUUAAUAUGACCCUAAUCGACUCCGUCCUUCGAAAGAUAAGGGACCCUUUUGCCGUCACCAGCCUCGACAGCCUCUCGAGAGUGUCACGGCUGAUUAUGAACGCAGCAAGAUUAUCGUCGAGGUCUUAACUUCGUUGGUAAGGUUCCAUAACCGUCAAUGGAAUAAUAUCGGCCGGAUAUCAAGGCCUGUCAGAAAAGCAGAGGAGAACUGGCGAAAGAAUGAGCUAAACCGACAUGGAGGAUGGAAGAAUACCAAGAUACAAGAUCAUUGACCGACGAUCUUUGUUAAAAUAUUUCAUCUAUCAAUACCUGUUAGCUCGUAGUAAUUGGAGAUUUUCUUUUGACGAUAAUGAUAUUUGUUUUCAUGUGGAAGAUCAAGUAACGAUGAAAGGGACGAAGAGAAAUGUGAUACGUGUUGAUAAUUCUAGACGAUGGAAAAAGAAAGAAGGAACAGGAUAUCGUGUAAAUAAUCGUGUAAAUAUUUUGCAACGAUUCAUCACGUGUAAAACAAGAUGGCCAUUCCCUUAAUGAAAUCGAAAGUGGUACAGGAAACGUAAAAUACGAUGAAGAAUAAGGAAAUCGUAAAUCGUUCUAUUUAGACGAAAUAGCCAAUUGAUCCAGCCGAUUGUCUCACAUCGAAUUCAGACAGCUCGAAAAAACGACCAUAUUUGCGUUCUCAAUCAACGAACAAAUUGUUGUGACGUGACGUCGAUCAAUAAUAUAUCCUCAUCUUUAAAUAUUAAUAAUUCUACUUGAAAUUGAACUCAUUCAUAAUAUUAAAUACGUCAAAAUUCGCAUUAUA
This is a long non-coding RNA of Apis cerana (Asiatic honeybee), 3589 nucleotides long. RefSeq lists it as uncharacterized. The record is from RefSeq and is a predicted model, not a curated record. NCBI's taxonomy places the organism in Eukaryota, Metazoa, Arthropoda, Insecta, Hymenoptera, Apidae.